UCAAGUAAGUCCUGAUAUUCCGUAUGUUGUAGAGUGCGAAACGGGUGGUGUGCCUUUGGAAGAACAAAUAAGUGCAUAGAAAUUAUUUAAACUCUUUCUGAAGCAUGUUAUUUUUGUAUGACUUAAUGCACCUAAAUUAUAUGAUCCAAUAGGUUCACAAAGAGUUUUUCAGAAUCACUGGAGUUAAUCUCAAGGAGAUUGAAUAUACACCAAAGAUCAUCCAACUGUACAGGUCACGUAGUGGAGCUUUUGGAGAGGACUUGAAGACUCUACUGAACAAAAUGGAUGCCCAGAUGACCAAUGUCAUGUUGCAUAGGAAAACAGCAGCUUUGCAAGGCCUACCAUUGUUUGAGGGAGAGCACAGAUUCCUUCUUCAAAUCUUGCUUGGAUACAGAUGUGGAUGGGGUCAACACUCGUGGAGUUCAGAUUGGGAUUUUAACGGUUGCUGAGGACGACACUGCUACCACUGACACAGAUGCCAAUGUAAGGUGUUUUGCUUUGAUUAUUGAGGAGCAGAUUGUUCUUGAUGACCUCCCUGACCUUCUCCCUGACCUUCCCACUGCUAUGGCCCUCCUUUUUGGAUUGAUUUAUUCUUUGAACAUGAAGUAUCCAAAGGAACUGAAAUACAUGUUCGAAACUAUUCAAAAAGUUUUCAUGCGCCUUGAUACCAAUCUUUCUCUUUCUUGCCCUGCAGCGCAUAGUGAACACAGCUGGAAGGAUUAUUGG
Alosa alosa (allis shad) is the source of this 726-nucleotide long non-coding RNA. RefSeq lists it as uncharacterized. NCBI's taxonomy places the organism in Eukaryota, Metazoa, Chordata, Actinopteri, Clupeiformes, Clupeidae. The transcript is spliced from 3 exons. The record is from RefSeq and is a predicted model, not a curated record.